Molecule: long non-coding RNA, 379 nt
Organism: Cyprinus carpio (common carp)
Lineage: Eukaryota; Metazoa; Chordata; Actinopteri; Cypriniformes; Cyprinidae
Source: Ensembl
CUUUUUUAUUAAAAUUAAGCACAUUUCUAGAUUAAAAGCAUAUUUUAAAUGUAGUGUUCUUCUUUCACAGGCCAGAGAAACUUUACUGUGUGUUGUGAGACUGUUAUCAGUGCUCAUGUCGGCAGGAACUGCAUCUAAACCCUGCUGUAAGACUUCAAUAUUUUCCCCGAUGAUGGGCAUCUACAGCCAGGUCCCGUUUGGCACAAACAACAGAGGGAGGAAUCUUGCACCCUCAUUACAUAGCAGCCACUCUAAUUACAAGCUGCUCAAGAGAUGUUAUUCUACACCUGCUGGUGACAAUGACAGCACCUCUGUCCCUUGCUCGUCUUUGCUUUUGUGUAAUGGGGCGCGGGGUGCAACACAACACCGUUUUAAAUAA